CGUCAAGUCCUCAUGGCCCUUAUGCCCAGGGCUACACACGUGCUACAAUGGUCGGUACAGAGGGCUGCCAACCCGCGAGGGGGAGCAAAUCCCAUAAAAUCGUUCUCAGUUCGGAUUGUAGGCUGCAACUCGCCUACAUGAAGCCGGAAUCGCUAGUAAUCGCGGAUCAGCAUGCCGCGGUGAAUACGUUCCCGGGCCUU
RNAcentral lists this ribosomal RNA (200 nucleotides) under uncultured organism. RNAcentral's name for it is "partial small subunit ribosomal RNA". It matches the Rfam family "Bacterial small subunit ribosomal RNA", at positions 1183 to 1382 of the family's 1533-position model. The record is from RNAcentral.